UCAUAUUCUCUCUCAUUCUAUCGUUAACACAACCGAUUACUCCCAAAACCCUAAUUCCAAAAUCAGGAGCACCCUCCAUUCUCCAAUCUCUUCUCCGUCGUUCAUCUAGGGUUUCUUCCAGAAAUAGAAUUGUCUCAUCCAAUCUUUUUCCGAUCGACAUAUUUAAGGUAAGAUUGAUCUCAUAUUUGACAUUGUUUAAUCGAUUCGCAUCCUCCAAUCUCUUCUGCGUCGCUCAUCUAGGGUUUCUUCCACAAAUCGCAUUGUCUCAUUCAAUCAUCGACAUAUUUAAGGUAAGAUUGAUCUCAUAUUUGACAUUUUAAUCGAUUCGCUUGACAAUGCAUUUGAUAACAGGGAUUAAAACUAGGGUUCAUAUUGUUGAACUUGUGGUCCAAAUUAACCUGGUGCAUGUUCGAAAUUCUUUGAUAUUUCCCCUUUGUUUUUGGUGCAGUGUUUCAUUUUUAGAAAACUCAAUUGCAAAAUCGCAUAUUUGCUCAUCAGAAAUUGCUGUGAUUAUUGUAAAAUUAAGGGCGAUGUUUAGGAGGUUUAAGAUGAUUACUGACACAUGAGAAACCAGUAUUGUUAACAAGGAUGUUGAUUGACAUCAUCAAAGCUCUGGAUAAUAGAAGGUUAAUAAUCUUGAUUAAAUGGGUCUGAAACUGACUCCAAAGCAAGUUGUUAAGUUAUAUGAUCGGAACUUUGGCAUUGGGUCAAAUGGAGUGAUCUCUGCAAUGUCUGGAUGCUAUGGGACUGUUUAUACCAUGAGGAUUUUUAAUUCGGAUGAUAGCGAACCCGAGUGUGUGGAUGUAUAAACCCUCGGUGAAGAGUGUGGGAAUUUGUUUGAAUAAGGCCCAUGGAUUUUUUUUCGGGCUUCGAGAUAUGAUCAAGGUUGGAAUUGUCAAACUCAAAAUGCCGUAGUUAGUUAUUCGAGCAUUGUCGCAUUGAAACGAGGCGUUUUUUAUCAUUGUCGCAUUCAAGUCUCCUCUUUUGCUUAUUCUAUGGCUACUCGUGAUGGGAGAAUUAUGGCAUCGCAAAUGAUUCGUUUGUUUAGAUAUUGAACAAUGUCAAAAAACGGGUCAAGCCAAACAAAUUUCAAGCGUCCAUAUCCAUCUUUAUAUCUAAUCUUGAGAUGGUAAAUUUUGAAUGUUUUGCCUAAGGCCUGUGGAUAAUUUAUAAAUAAUUUUGAAGAAUUUUUUUUUAUGCAAUGUAUCUUUUCCCUUAACAUAGACCUAGAGAUGAGCAACCCGGUACUAAAUUUCCUGCAUCAAAAUAUUUUUGGUACUGACUUGGUACUGACAUUUCCAGUACCGGUUUUACCUUCAAAUAUCGCUCCAUACACGUACCGGUAGACUGAACCUUUUCGGUACUCGUAUCGGUGCCCGUUUUUGGGAUUUUCGGUACGGCGGUACCUUUAGUACGGUUGGUACCGAGCUCAUCUCUACAUAGACCUAUGGAUAAAUUAUAAAGAAUUUUAAAUUUUUUUUUUCAUCUUGACUUUGGUUGAUACUCAUGACCUUACCAAAGUUUCAGUUGGUAAGUACAUAUAAAAAGAAAUUCAGGUGACAUGAAAUAAGCUACUUCUAAUUUAAAAUCUUGAAUGAAUAUAUAGAUGGUUAAUCUGAAGGGAUGAUGCAAGAUAUUGUGAAUAUGGUCUGAGCCUACAUUCAAAAGCUAAACUGUAGUAUGUUGGCAAUAUCAUCAACUAAUCAAGCUCUUGCUACAAUAGAUGCGAUUUAAAUGUCCCGUGAGGUGGACCCCACAGGUCGCGUUGUUCAGGUUUUGAUAUUUAAUAUUUAAUCCAAGAAUCAUAGUCUCUAACCAUCGAGCUCGCCAGGUAGAUUAUGUUCCUGCCACCAUUUUUGUUCUGGAAGAGGUGCUUAUCAUCGCUUAACGAGUAUAUAAAAGUAUAAAACACAAAAGCAACAAUUUUUGCUGAAGUUUAUGUAUGCAGGUGGUAGAUGCAAUUGAAGUAAGAGUACUGGUUCUGCGUGACAGAGGAAAAGGCAAGGAAUGGAUAUUUUCAAACCUUUAGCUCUCGGUGCACACACGGUUAUGAUUGAGAGACCGUAUAUGGGUUGGCAUGUUGUAAAAUUUGAGAGAGAAUUAACUAAUUUGUAGGAGCAGUCGCCCCUUCUGAAGACAUAGGCGGCGACAUUGGUACUAAUUUCUUCCAAUGUAUGUAUUUGUUAAGAAUAUUUCAUUUCAAAGUAAAUAAUAGUUUUUGUUGAAGCCUCGCGUAUUACGCGGGCAUUAACCUA
Molecule: RNA transcript, 2255 nt
Organism: Helianthus annuus (common sunflower)
Lineage: Eukaryota; Viridiplantae; Streptophyta; Magnoliopsida; Asterales; Asteraceae
Exons: 9
Source: RefSeq, a predicted model, not a curated record